This 596-nucleotide unclassified non-coding RNA is filed under the name Leishmania donovani. RNAcentral describes it as "gene:LdHU3.35.2280(CDS-product:dynein-associated_ roadblock_protein-like_protein)". The record is from RNAcentral. Lineage: Eukaryota; Euglenozoa; Kinetoplastea; Trypanosomatida; Trypanosomatidae.
CAACUGUAGAGUUACGGCCCACCGCUCCUCACUUCACAGCACGCGCAAAGCCAUGUCGGAGAUUGCGGAAAUGUUUCAGCGCAUCAGUCAGCGCCCCAACGUGACUGGCAUCAUCGUAGUGGACAAUGAAGGCACUCCCAUACGAAGCACUAUUGAGGACACGACAGUGCAGAACCAGUAUGCGCACUUGAUCACGUCACUUGCUGCUAAAGCACGCCAUUGCGUUCGUGACUUAGACCCAACGAACGAUCUGUGCUUUCUUCGAAUCCGCUCGAAAAAGAAUGAGAUCAUGGUUGCACCAGACAAGGACUUCAUUCUGAUUGUUAUUCAAAACAUUGUCGAGUAGCUGCGUUACGCGCACACUGGCAUGGGAUAGAGGAGAGGAGUGUUUCGAAUGUAAAUAGUUUAUCCUCAGGAAUGUGGCUAAGCGCGACAAAAUAAUACGAACAGUGAACACGCUGCAGCCUUGCUGUGCAUUCACGCUUCCUUUGACAAAGAGAAAUACGCAUAGUCACGCAAAGAUGCCGUUGACCCACCGUCUUACUGUCGUGUUGCGCAACAUGUCUUUCCGUCAUUUUUUCGCCUGUGUCCAUUUC